UACGGAGGGUGCGAGCGUUAAUCGGAAUUACUGGGCGUAAAGCGUGCGCAGGCGGUUAUAUAAGACAGAGGUGAAAUCCCCGGGCUCAACCUGGGAACUGCCUUUGUGACUGUAUAGCUUGAGUGCGGCAGAGGGGGAUGGAAUUCCGCGUGUAGCAGUGAAAUGCGUAGAUAUGCGGAGGAACACCGAUGGCGAAGGCAAUCCCCUGGGCCUGCACUGACGCUCAUGCACGAAAGCGUGGGGAGCAAACAGG
Molecule: ribosomal RNA, 253 nt
Filed under: uncultured bacterium
Lineage: Bacteria
Description: partial 16S ribosomal RNA
Rfam family: Bacterial small subunit ribosomal RNA
Source: RNAcentral